This 468-nucleotide ribosomal RNA is filed under the name uncultured bacterium. RNAcentral's name for it is "partial 16S ribosomal RNA". It matches the Rfam family "Bacterial small subunit ribosomal RNA", at positions 28 to 507 of the family's 1533-position model. The record is from RNAcentral.
GACGAACGCUGGCGGCGUGCCUAAUACAUGCAAGUCGAACGGAAAGGCGAGGCGCUUGCGGCGCGCACGAUUGGCGAACGCGUGUGUAACACGCGAGUAACCUGUCCCUGACUGAGUGAUAUCACUAGGAAACUGCGGCUAUAAUCGGAGAUGAGCUCCUGCUGCACGGUGGUGGUUGGAGAGAUUCGGUGGUUGGGGAUGGUAUCGCGGCGUACCCGCUUGUUGGUGGGGUAGUGGAUUACCAAGGCUUCGACGGGUAGCCGGACUGAGAGGGUGACCGGCCACACUGGGACUGAGAUACGGCCCAGACUCCUACGGGAGGGAGCAGUGGGGAAUAUUGCACAAUGGGCGGAAGCCUGAUGAAGCAGCGCCGCGUGCGGGAUAACGGCCUUCGGAUUGUAAACCGAUUGCGCCUGUGACGAAGCGUGAGUGACGGUAAUCGGUAAAGAAGCACCGGCUAACUACGUG